This 594-nucleotide ribosomal RNA is filed under the name cf. Aporcelaimellus sp. 803L-021. RNAcentral's name for it is "SSU rRNA". It matches the Rfam family "Eukaryotic small subunit ribosomal RNA", at positions 1024 to 1643 of the family's 1831-position model. The record is from RNAcentral. Lineage: Eukaryota; Metazoa; Nematoda; Enoplea; Dorylaimida; Aporcelaimidae.
UUCUAACCGUAAACGAUGACAACCAGCGAUUAAUCGGCGUUAAUAUAUGACCCGAUUAGCAGCUUCCGGGAAACCAAAGUUUUUCGUUUCCGGGGGAAGUAUGGUUGCAAAGCUGAAACUUAAAGGAAUUGACGGAAGGGCACCACCAGGAGUGGAGCCUGCGGCUUAAUUUGACUCAACACGGGAAAACUCACCCGGCCCGGACACCGUAAGGAUUGACAGACUGAGAGCUCUUUCUUAAUUCGGUGGGUGGUGGUGCAUGGCCGUUCUUAGUUGGUGGAGCGAUUUGUCUGGUUAAUUCCGAUAACGAACGAGACUCUGGCCUAUUAAAUAGACGAUAUAUCUAAAAGUGUAUCGUACUUCUUAGAGGGACAAGCGGCGUCUAGCCGCAUGAAAUAGAGCAAUAACAGGUCUGUGAUGCCCUUAGAUGUCCGGGGCUGCACGCGCGCUACACUGAAAGAAUCAGUGUGCGUUAUACCUAGUUCGGAAGAACCGGGUAACCCAAGUAAAUUCUUUCGUGCUUGGGAUAGGGAAUUGCAAUUAUUUCCCUUAAACGAGGAAUUCCCAGUAAAUGCGGGUCAUAAGCUCGCGUUG